GGUUCAUUAGUCUAGUGGUUAGGACACUGGAUUUUGAUCCUCAAAAUUCAUUCCAGGAACGCCGGUUCGAGUCCGGCAUGAACCU
RNAcentral lists this transfer RNA (85 nucleotides) under Grosmannia clavigera kw1407. It matches the Rfam family "tRNA". From Rfam's summary of the family: Transfer RNA (tRNA) molecules are approximately 80 nucleotides in length. Their secondary structure includes four short double-helical elements and three loops (D, anti-codon, and T loops). The record is from Rfam by way of RNAcentral. Lineage: Eukaryota; Fungi; Ascomycota; Sordariomycetes; Ophiostomatales; Ophiostomataceae.